AAGUCGAGCGAAUGGAUUAAGAGCUUGCUCUUAUGAAGUUAGCGGCGGACGGGUGAGUAACACGUGGGUAACCUGCCCAUAAGACUGGGAUAACUCCGGGAAACCGGGGCUAAUACCGGAUAACAUUUUGAACCGCAUGGUUCGAAAUUGAAAGGCGGCUUCGGCUGUCACUUAUGGAUGGACCCGCGUCGCAUUAGCUAGUUGGUGAGGUAACGGCUCACCAAGGCAACGAUGCGUAGCCGACCUGAGAGGGUGAUCGGCCACACUGGGACUGAGACACGGCCCAAACUCCUACGGGAGGCAGCAGUAGGGAAUCUUCCGCAAUGGACGAAAGUCUGACGGAGCAACGCCGCGUGAGUGAUGAAGGCUUUCGGGUCGUAAAACUCUGUUGUUAGGGAAGAACAAGUGCUAGUUGAAUAAGCUGGCACCUUGACGGUACCUAACCAGAAAGCCACGGCUAACUACGUGCCAGCAGCCGCGGUAAUACGUAGGUGGCAAGCGUUAUCCGGAAUUAUUGGGCGUAAAGCGCGCGCAGGUGGUUUCUUAAGUCUGAUGUGAAAGCCCACGGCUCAACCGUGGAGGGUCAUUGGAAACUGGGAGACUUGAGUGCAGAAGAGGAAAGUGGAAUUCCAUGUGUAGCGGUGAAAUGCGUAGAGAUAUGGAGGAACACCAGUGGCGAAGGCGACUUUCUGGUCUGUAACUGACACUGAGGCGCGAAAGCGUGGGGAGCAAACCGGAUUAGAUACCCUGGUAGUCCACGCCGUAAACGAUGAGGGCUAAGUGUAGAAGGGUUUCCGCCCUUUAGUGCUGAAGUUAACGCAUUAAGCAAUCCGCCUGGGGAGUACGGCCCGCAAGCUGAA
This 860-nucleotide ribosomal RNA is filed under the name Bacillus tropicus. RNAcentral describes it as "bacterial SSU rRNA". It matches the Rfam family "Bacterial small subunit ribosomal RNA", at positions 59 to 898 of the family's 1533-position model. Lineage: Bacteria; Bacillati; Bacillota; Bacilli; Caryophanales; Bacillaceae. The record is from RNAcentral.